Long non-coding RNA from Macaca mulatta (Rhesus monkey), 4171 nucleotides. The record is from Ensembl. NCBI's taxonomy places the organism in Eukaryota, Metazoa, Chordata, Mammalia, Primates, Cercopithecidae.
GUGAGGAAUUCAAAGACCACCAUGUUGCUGUUUUCCCUUACAACUAUAUUGAGGCUUGGUCAGGAUUUGUGUAGAAAGCGCACAGCAGGACUGAGCCUAUGCAUUCAAAGUCUUGAGUACCCCUACAAAGGAAGAGGACACAAACGAAAAAUGUUCCCUCAUACCAAGGAUUGUCCUGAAAUCCAAGACCGUAUUUUAUGAGAUAAGUUAAAAAUCACAUUACUAAUUACCAAUAUUGAGUAAAUUAAGGGGAAGAAUAUUACAUUAUGAAACUAACCAAAUAGCAUAAUCUUAUUGCUAAUUCCCCCUCUCCAUUGUUUUACUGCCUAUAUGAUUCAUGACAUUUAUAAAGCAGAUCCAGGAUUACCUCAAAAGUGCUUUUAAAAGUGAAAGAAUGCUUUUAAAAUGAAAAAACAAAAAACGAAAAAAAAAAACCAAGGAAAAGAAUUAUUUUAUUCUCCUCUUGGUGGAGAGUAGAACUGAAUAAUUACGGUGAGAUGCUGCCUUUAUCUCUACUGGAGGUUGUUGGAGUCACACUGGAGCUAAGAACUAGGGACCACAUCCUGGCCUUUGAUUUGAGGACCCUCUUGUGCAUGUUUAAUUUCCCACAACUCCAGAAUCACUUAUAACAUUGCAACUUUUCAUAUGUAAAAGUAAAAUUAAUAAACAUGUGUUACUCUUUAUGUUUGGGUUUCUUAGAAGACAUACAUCAGAGAGAGAGAGAUUACAGUAUGCAAUCUCUCAGCUGCCAACAGAACACAGAUGGGCUUGGGAACACAGAAUGAUCCAGAUCCGCAGGACUCGAGCAAUCCGUGGGAAGUUUGGACAGAAGAUCUGAUGCAUCAGACAGUAAAGGACUAUUGAAUGUUCCAUGAUAAAUGUGCUUGUUCUUUUGCCUGCAUGCCCUUGAAUAAAGACAUUUUGAUCUCCAGGGCCAACCUGAGAAACAUAUAAUUUAAUCUAGUUUUGAAAGAAGAGCCCUGCUACACAAACACUGGCUCACAAUGUUAAAAGAUAUCAACUGAAAUAUUGAAGGGCUUUCAUAUUUCAGUAAAUUGACUAUCCUAUGUGUUUGAUAUUUCCAUUUAAUUGAAUAUUUCUUAACUCAGUGAAAAAUGUAUGAGCCUGCUAUGAUAAAUUCAGUAUUGCAUAUGGGAAUUUCAAGUAUCUUUUAUUGAAUCUUAUUUCUUGAUCUCUCUCCUUUCAAAGAGAGAUACAAAAAGACCGUUAGCCUGCUUGCUUCUGUUUUUUUCUGCCCCAUCUCCACCUUUAUUCCCAAACUGUGGUUCACACAUUUAUUUCCAUUUUUAAAAAUUUUCUCUUGCUGCUGCCAUUCUCUUAUUACUCAUUUUUUAAAUACCUAGUCCACUUUCUUUACUUUUCUUUAAUGUCUGCCUCAGAGCUCAGCUUUUUUAGUUAAUUGACGAUAUCACUAGCCUUUAGUUCUGAGAGACUGAAUACACAGUCACACCACACAUAGAAAUAGAAUUCUAACCCACAAACUGCAAUAACCAGAGCAAGACCACAGCCUCCACGGCAAUUAGCCCAAAACGGUCAGUACCUGAUCAAUAAUGGACAACUUUCACAAUUUUUAGCUGCCUUCCUCUACUUCCAACUUUGGACCAACUGAAGAAAGACAAAUAUGCUGCCUAAUCACCCUCAUAGGAUACUUUUCUUUCAGUUAUCGGGCUUCCGACUCCUUUAUACCAAUAGCCUUCAAUCAAGCAGACCCGAAGUCUUCCCUUUUUUCCAUUCUAAAGCUUUCCUACUCCUCUGCCUGCCUUUGAGUCUCUGCCAAACAUAAAUAAUGGCGAUUGACUUCCUUACUAUGCUAGCUCUGAAUAAAUAUCCUUUUCUUGUUCGCAUCUGGGUACACUUCAUUUGUUUCCAUAGUUCUUUCAUUCUGUGAACUAUCCAAUUAAAAACUUUUUAAAAUAAAUACCAUGCUCUUGGCUUUUCUGCAAUCAUCAACUCUCUUUAGCUUCUUCCUUCAAUUCCACACCUUAUCCAGAUGCAAGCUAGCUUUUAGGAAGUUUUAGGAGGUACUUUUUCACUACAUAUAUUUUAUUUGACUGAAAAAUGAUAAAAUAUCAUUUAAAUUGAAUGUACACCAACUGUGGCUCCUGAAUAAUAAAAACAUAAAUUUGUAUCCAUAAGCAUAAUAGGACAUUUAAUAAUCCUUGUUACAUAUAUUGAUGAACAUAUUCUGUAAAGUCAUUUAGUCUUGUGCCAAAUAGAAACUAUAAAAAUAUAAUGAGCUUUUUGUCAAAAACUGUUAUGUAAGGCCUUGGAAGUUUCUAGUAGUUCAGUGCUUUCUAUUCCAUUCACGUUUUUGUUGAAAUAAAAUGGAAAAGAAAAUAACCUUGUAUAUGCAUAUUAGAACUAACAGGUAAGGGUUUCCAUGGAUACUUUUAUGCAGCCAAAGGGUUCGUGUGUGGAAAAAGGCAUUCAUUUCUAGUUCUAAGAGAUUCUGUUCUGAUAAGGAACUCCUGCCAAUCAUUUUAUGUCUUGACUUUCUAACAGAAUAAAAAUAAUAUAUAUCAUGUGUGUUAUGUGUAAGUCAUGAGAUAGUUCUAUCUAAAUAACCUUUUCAAUCAUCUGGCCUAUUCGAGUAAUACCUUGGAAUUUUGUUAAAGCUUGGAAAAUCUACGAAGAUUUUGUAAGCAACUUUUAAUGAGUUUAUUGCUUUCUAGAUAUGUUCGAGGAAUCUUUUUUCUCUCUUUUUCUUGGUCAUACUUAGGCAGUUUAAAUUAACCAACUACUAGUGCUAGAAUAAAAGUUUAUCUUUUACUUAAAAUAGCUUUGUUAUCUUUUAUCUUUAAUUUUACCUUUAAUUUUUACCUUUUUAUCUUUAAUUUUAUCUUGAAGAAAUUUCAAAUAUCUUUGAUUGAAUCUUAUUAGUUAAUAUCCUACCCAAAUGAAAUUUUCUGCAAGUUUUCUUUUUAUCUUUUUGAGAAACAUGUCAAAAAAGAUUUCACACCAUGAAACUGCUAGGUUAAAUUUUAAGCCAUACAGUUUUAUGAGAAGCUUGAUGAGGUUCUGUGACCUUUUAAUGAGCGAAUUCAUUCUAAACAACAUGUUUUAAAUGUAGCACUAUUGUUUUACACUGACUUGCGCCUAAGCAAUUAUAAAUUGUGAGCAUGGCCUGUAGAAUUGUUUUUAAAUAAAUAAUCUGAAAAAUCAUUUGAUCUUAGAUUUAAGAGUGAACUCUCAAAUACGGUUUGUUUUUACUAGUUAACAUAGACUCUGGAUAGCAGUGAAGUGUAAAUCAUGAUCAGAAUGGUAAACAAAGAGGCAAUUAAAAUAUCACUCAACUUCCAAACUGAUUAAAUAAUAAAUUUUUGCAACAAAGCUUUCAUGAUUUAUGUUUUCAAGUCCAUAGAUGCAACAGCUUUUUCACUGAGUGCAAUACUGUCGUGACACAUACAUUGUCAUGGUACAUUAUACUAUUAUAAUGUAAGCUAAAUGGCUGUCAAAAAUACAGGUUACAUAAGACGAGAAGAAACAGAAAUGCAAACUAUAUUAAGCCCUAACAUUGGUUUUGGCCUUGGCAUAAUAAAGAUGACAUCUUAAUGAUUACCAGGGAUACUGUUUAUAGAAGAUGAUUCCUAAAAUGUAUUUUAUUAUGGUAUUGUGCACUGCUAGAAAGCGGCCUCCUUUCAAAAGCUGCUUUAAAUAAUUGGCAUUUCACAAUAUGUAUCCAGUAUGUCAUUAAGACUGCACACAGAUUAUUACAGUACUUUAUUUAUAUUCAGCAUCAAAUUAUGUAAACUUCUGGCCUAAAGUAUUAUAAAGUUACUUCUUGAUGAUGAUUUAUUUUGGUAAUAUAAAAUAUCCUAUUCCUGUAUCUUCUUCCUCUUGCCCAUCAUUCAGUAUUUGUAUUUUCCAAAGUUCAUCAUCUGUCUUCUUGCUUUUACACUCCACCCCCCCUUAACAACCUACCCAUCCUAACGAUUUGAACCACAACCUGUUCACCUAAAAAAUCUGUAUUCUCCACAGAGACUUCCAAAUCACUAUUUCAUACCCAGACUUUUCACCCAAUGAAAGUAUCUAAUGGCUUACUUAAGAGUUCUGCCUGGAUAUGCAUCUUGAACCAAAUAUGUUUUACUCUCAAACUCAGCAACUUACUUCAAAAUCUAUUCCUCCUUCAAGACAUGCACCUGAGUGUGGA